This is a long non-coding RNA of Panthera uncia (snow leopard), 1231 nucleotides long. RefSeq lists it as uncharacterized. The record is from RefSeq and is a predicted model, not a curated record. The transcript has 6 exons. Lineage: Eukaryota; Metazoa; Chordata; Mammalia; Carnivora; Felidae.
CAUUAUUCUGUUGUUAAUCCAGCAUUUUAAAAAAAGAGAGAGAGAAAUUAUGUCUGGAGUCUUAAAGAUAUGUAGCGGGACUGCCAGUCUAGGACACCGUAGGUGACCCAUCCCCAUCUUAUCAGCGAAGACCUCAGAUCCCAACGAUCUUACAAUUUACUUAGUGUGAUGCAUUAACAACUCAACUACAGCGCAAGUUGUCUACAAAGACACACGUAUGUAUAAGAUACGAGGAGAAUCAAAGGAAAACACUUCAUUAUUUCUGUCAAGCAGAAUUCAUCUUGAACUAAAGUCAACUAAAAUACAGAUGCUUAAUUCUUCGGACUCAUUAGACAAGCCCUUAUUGACCAUCAUAAUUUUUCAGGCUCAUUACCUUUAUUGACCACCAUAUUUGAAGCUCUGCACAACUUAAAGGAAAGCUGAAGAAAAGAAUGUUUAGGGUAUUUCUCCAUGCCUCUAGAGAGGAAGAAUGAAAGACCUACCUAACUAGGGGUGUUUAUUCCUAAGAAACUCAAAGUGAUUUGUACUCUGCUGUGAUGUCUACCAGAAACAGUAAAAGGACCACACUGCACCAGAAGUUCAUGGCUUGAAGGGCACACAGAGGUCACACAGUUUGAUGCCUUUCUCCUUUCCAGUGUUCAGAUUGGAUUACACUGUAUAAAUAUAUUCAGAGCAGAGGACAAGGAAAAGAAAUGGGUACAAAGAGGACAAAAGCUGUAUUUCUUACAUGCAAACAGUUUCUAAAACAAAUGUGUCCUACAGCCACGUAACAGGAUUAAGGGGGACAGAAGCGGAGACGAUAAAAACUUCUCCAGGGUUUUUCUGUGGAGAAGGACAUUCUAAUUCCCAAUAAGUCAAUUAACAAUGGACUCUCAAAGAUCUUCACAGUAAGUUUCAUUCUAACCAAAAGCAAACCUAGUGAAAAAACUGUUAACACAGAAUAUAAAUAACUGAAGCAAAGGGUUGGAUUGUUCUGAUCUUGUCUGUCCUGUCACAUGUGAUGGGGAUUGAUGCUUAAACGAUUCCAUGACUGGCCUUUACUGCUUUCCUAUGAAGAAUCACUAGAUUCAUAGUAUUUCCUUCCACGAAAUACUGUAGGGGAAUCAUAAAUACGAUCCUUGAGAAUCAGGGAUUUUAGAGACCUUCACUGAGUGAAGCAGUUUCUAAUCAUUGAACCUAGAGUCCUGAUGAAGAGGAGACUCCUCUUCCAAAUAAAGAAGACUAAUAUUUC